RNAcentral lists this small RNA (83 nucleotides) under Klebsiella variicola. RNAcentral's name for it is "partial RtT sRNA". It matches the Rfam family "RtT RNA", at positions 50 to 130 of the family's 130-position model. Rfam says of the family: This family represents a bacterial cis-regulatory element known as RtT RNA. The exact function of RtT is unknown although it is thought that it may be involved in changing the cellular response in relation to amino acid starvation. The record is from RNAcentral. Lineage: Bacteria; Pseudomonadati; Pseudomonadota; Gammaproteobacteria; Enterobacterales; Enterobacteriaceae.
GAGCGUAGCGAGAGAACGUUGCCGCAGGCAACGGCCCGAAGGGCGAGGAGCGAUAGCGACGAGUUAUCCUUCCCCCACCACCA